RNAcentral lists this ribosomal RNA (468 nucleotides) under uncultured bacterium. RNAcentral's name for it is "partial 16S ribosomal RNA". It matches the Rfam family "Bacterial small subunit ribosomal RNA", at positions 28 to 507 of the family's 1533-position model. The record is from RNAcentral.
GACGAACGCUGGCGGCGUGCUUAACACAUGCAAGUCGAACGGAAAGGCCCUGCUUUUGUGGGGUGCUCGAGUGGCGAACGGGUGAGUAACACGUGAGUAACCUGCCCUUGACUUUGGGAUAACUUCAGGAAACUGGGGCUAAUACCGGAUAGGAGCUCCUGCUGCAUGGUGGGGGUUGGAAAGUUUCGGCGGUUGGGGGUGGACUCGCGGCUUAUCAGCUUGUUGGUGGGGUAGUGGCUUACCAAGGCUUUGACGGGUAGCCGGCCUGAGAGGGUGACCGGCCACAUUGGGACUGAGAUACGGCCCAGACUCCUACGGGAGGCAGCAGUGGGGAAUAUUGCACAAUGGGCGGAAGCCUGAUGCAGCAACGCCGCGUGCGGGAUGACGGCCUUCGGGUUGUAAACCGCUUUCGCCUGUGACGAAGCGUGAGUGGCGGUAAUGGGUAAAGAAGCACCGGCUAACUACGUG